UUGGCCUUGACAUACUAAGAACUUUCCAGUAGAUGGAUUGGUGCCUUCGGGAACUUAGAUACAGGUGCUGCAUGGCUGUCGUCAGCUCGUGUCGUGAGAUGUUGGGUUAAGUCCGCAACGAGCGCAACCCUUUUCCUUAUUUGCCAGCGGGUAAUGCCGGGAACUUUAAGGAUACUGCCAGUGACAAACUGGAGGAAGGCGGGGACGACGUCAAGUCAUCAUGGCCCUUACGGCCAGGGCUACACACGUGCUACAAUGGUCGGUACAAAGGGUUGCUACCUCGCGAGAGGAUGCUAAUCUCAAAAAGCCGAUCGUAGUCCGGAUCGCAGUCUGCAACUCGACUGCGUGAAGUCGGAAUCGCUAGUAAUCGCGGAUCAGAAUGCCGCGGUGAAUACGUUCCCGGGCCUUGUACACACCGCCCGUCACACCAUGGGAGUUUGUUGCACCAGAAGUAGGUAGUCUAACCGCAAGGAGGACGCUUACCACGGUGUGGCCGAUGACUGGGGUGAAGUCGUAACAAGGUAGGCGUAGAUGA
RNAcentral lists this ribosomal RNA (535 nucleotides) under uncultured bacterium. RNAcentral's name for it is "bacterial SSU rRNA". It matches the Rfam family "Bacterial small subunit ribosomal RNA", at positions 975 to 1509 of the family's 1533-position model. The record is from RNAcentral.